This is a long non-coding RNA of Triticum aestivum (bread wheat), 1628 nucleotides long. RefSeq lists it as uncharacterized. The record is from RefSeq and is a predicted model, not a curated record. NCBI's taxonomy places the organism in Eukaryota, Viridiplantae, Streptophyta, Magnoliopsida, Poales, Poaceae. The transcript has 6 exons.
CCCUCACCCUCUCACCCGCACUUCUCCUCUCGUCCCACAGCCGCCACCCCCAACCCUCUCGCUCCUCCUCCGUCUCAAUCUCUCGAUCCCCAACCACCGCCGCCACCGUCCUCCGCCUCUCCCCCAACCCCAGUCGUCGGCGACCCCUCCCCUUCCCUUCUCUCCCACGGCCGCGGUCGGAUCCGCGCUCCCUCCUCGCUCGUGACCUGGACCUAGCCGCAUGGCACGGCCAUGGCCAUGGCAGCGGCCAGAUCCACCCCCUCCCCUGCUCCGUUCCCUCGACACCCGGUGGUCAUUCUCCCUUAUGCCACCCGCCCCCCUUCUUCCUCCCGCGGCAGCUCACCCGCAGCCUUCCCCGUGGCUCUAGGGUUUUGGGGGCGGCGGCGCCUCCAUUGCCGGUAUGGCUCCGGCGACUCUACAGGCUCCUCCCCGACAUCUACUGCGCUGAGACAGCCGCGUCUCUGACUUGCCGCUUCCCCAGUGGCUGCUACUGGACCCGAUCCCUCCUCGUUGCCUGUAUGCUUCCUCGACUCUCCCUCCUCCCCAACAAGGCCGCCGUCGGACACCUUCUUCCCCGACAGCGCCGACGGAGAUCCACUCCUCCAUUUUCUUCUCACGGUUGUCCGCAGCAUAUAUGACUCAGAUCUGACAUUUUUGUUGUGUGUCUGGUUUUUCAGGAUGUGGGUGGUGCAGUGGCUGCAAGAACACGCUCGGCAGCGUCUAGGCCGGGUCGACUAGGGCGGCCGACAGCGGUGGCUACUUCCUUACAAGGACUGCAAGCUCGCCCACGACUACACGACCCUCCAGGUCCCGUCUGCAUGCCCGCUCCCUCCUCCCUGCCUCCUCAAGGUGGGGUUACCCAAUGUUGGCAAAUCAACUUUCUUUAACAUAGUAACAAAGGUGGGCUCCCGCGCCGGCAACUCCAGCUUGCGGUGAAGAAGAGAAAGGCUGAGAAGGACCCCUACGAGCCCACGCGCCCCAAGCGCUUUCUUCAUCUUCAUGGACAACUUUAGGAAGGAGUACAAGGAGAAGCACCCCGACGUCAAGCAGGUCUCCAUGAUUGGCAAGGCUGGUGGUGAGAAGUUGAAGUCCAUGAGUGAUGUUCAGGUGCUCUGCUCUUGCACACGUCUGGCACCGUCUCCGGCGCGGUGGUCCUUCUUGAGGAGACCGGCAUGAUGGCGGCUGUGUACAUGAAGCCCUCCGGUGAGUCGGCUCCAUCUUCUAGCCCUAGCUCCCACUUUUAUGCUCCUAUAGCAUGCUCUGUUGGUUUAGAACACUAGCAGCAGUAGCCUACCAUGUAUGCGUACUAAACAGCAGGGGUUCAAUCGCCCUGUGUACACUAGCAGCUUGCUUACACAGUUGUCACUUUUGCUUGUGGUAGCUUGAUACGUCUCCAACGUAUCUAUAAUUUAUGAAGUAUUCAUGCUAUUACAUUAUCCAUCUUAGAUGUUUUAUAUGCAUUUAUAUGCUAUUUUAUAUGAUUUUUGGGACUAACCUAUUAACCUAGAGCCCAGUGCCAGUUCCUGUUUUUUUCUUGUUUUUGAGUUUUACAGAAAAGGAAUAUCAAACGGAUUCCAAUUGACGUGCCAAUUUUUGACGAUUUUUUAUGGACCAAAAGAAGACCCCGG